Long non-coding RNA from Oncorhynchus tshawytscha (Chinook salmon), 5416 nucleotides. Lineage: Eukaryota; Metazoa; Chordata; Actinopteri; Salmoniformes; Salmonidae. The record is from Ensembl.
GGAUAGGACAGGUAGACUGACACGUGAGACAGUGGUUAGGAUAGGACAGGUAGACUGACACGUGAGACAGUGGUUAGGAUAGGACAGGUAGACUGACGGGGAACUGGCAUCAGUUUAGAAUUUUACAUCAUAACGAAUAAGAUUGUAUGAACAGAUCCUAGAUCCGGACUCCUUCUCUAGGACACUGACCAUAUAUGGACAGAUCCUAGAUCGGCACUCCUUCUCUAGGACACUGUGACCAUAUAUGGACACAUCCUAGAUCGGCACUCCUUCUCUAGGACACUGUGACCUUAUAUGGACAGAUCCUAGAUCGGCACUCCUUCUCUAGGACACUGUGACCAUAUAUGGACACAUCCUAGAUCGGCACUCCUUCUCUAGGACACUGUGACUAUAUAUGGACAGAUCCUUUACUCCCUUCCACCUGCAGGGGGCAAAGUGGAGCACUGAUGGGGCUGAGAGCUACAGUGAAGAGACGAGGGGGAGGGGGACAGUUCAUUCAGGCAAUGUGAAAUCAAGAAUGGAAAUGGAAAUGGAAUAUAUAUAUAUAUAUACACACACACACACUAAAUGUGAAUAGAUCUGUAGAUCUUGGAGAGUGGUCUGCAGUGUACAUACCAUAGCAGGGUGGUAGUGUAGCACUGCACCACAUGUGUACAUGGUGCUGAGUCAGCUCUUUCCACUCUCCCCUCUAGUGAAUGAUGCUGAGUCAGCUCUUUCCACUCUCCCCUCUAGUGAAUGAUGCUGAGUCAGCUCUUUCCACUCUCCCCUCUAGUGAAUGAUGCUGAGUCAGCUCUUUCCACUCUCCCCUCUAGUGAAUGAUGCUGAGUCAGCUCUUUCCACUCUCCCCUCUAGUGAAUGAUGCUCUUCAGACGUACUGUGUACUGGAAAACAAAAGUGGAUUUUGAUAUUUGUAUUUAUAACCUCUCUCCAUGUUUUAUCAUCAUUUUAGAUUUAAUUUAUAUAUAUUUUUUAAAUAAAUGAAACAUUUUUCGACCUAUCAAUGCCAUGUGGGAGCAAAAUAUGCGUGUUUGCCGUGCAUUCUAUGGUCAUGCACCCGGUGUUGCCAGUCUAUUUGGUCAUGCACAAGGUGUUGCCAGUCUAUUUGGUCAUGCACAAGGUGUUGCCAGUCUAUUUGGUCAUGCACAAGGUGUUGCCAGUCUAUUUGGUCAUGCACAAGGUGUUGCCAGUCUAUUUGGUCAUGCACAAGGUGUUGCCAUCGGAAAGGCUGUGUUUCUGUUCUGUUGUAUAAAAAACACUGCAGUGCUUUAGGCCUGGCUAACUCAUUGAUCCUGCUUUGUAGUGUCUACCCCUCUGGUUGCUUGUCAAAGUUAGCUGGCUAACUCAUUGAUCAUGCUUUGUAGAGUCUACCCCUCUGGUUGCUUGUCAAAGUUAGCUGGCUAACUCAUUGAUCAUGCUUUGUAGAGUCUACCCCUCUGGUUGCUUGUCAAAGUUAGCUGGCUAACUCAUUGAUCCUGCUUUGUAGAGUCUACCCCUCUGGUUGCUUGUCAAAGUUAGCUGGCUAACUCAUUCAUCCUGCUUUGUAGAGUCUACCUCUCUGGUUGCUUGUCAAAGUUAGCUGGCUAACUCAUUGAUCAUGCUUUGUAGUGUCUACCCCUCUGGUUGCUUGUCAAAGUUAGCUGGCUAACUCAUUCAUCCUGCUUUGUAGAGUCUACCCCUCUGGUUUCUUGUCAAAGUUAGCUGGCUAACUCAUUGAUCAUGCUUUGUAGAGUCUACCCCUCUGGUUGCUUGUCAAAGUUAGCUGGCUAACUCAUUGAUCAUGCUUUGUAGAGUCUACCCCUCUGGUUGCUUGUCAAAGUUAGCUGGCUAACUCAUUGAUCCUGCUUUGUAGAGUCUACCCCUCUCGUUGCUUGUCAAAGUUAGCUGGCUAAAUCAUUGAUCCUGCUUUGUAGAGUCUACCCCUCUGGUUGCUUGUCAAAGUUAGCUGGCUAACUCAUUGAUCCUGCUUUGUAGAGUCUACCCCUCUGGUUGCUUGUCAAAGUUAGCUGGCUAACUCAUUGAUCCUGCUUUGUAGAGUCUACCCCUCUGGUUGCUUGUCAAAGUUAGCUGGCUAACUCAUUGAUCCUGCUUUGUAGAGUCUACCUCUCUGAUGGUUCAGUGUGGGACGGAGGAUGGGAAGUUUCAUCGGUAGUCUGAGACUGGGAGAAAACCUCGUGCUCGUUGCUUUCAACCUCUCUUCUCUCGUGCUGGUUUUCCUCUGGAGAUAUUGGUUCCUCUAAAAGCUUUACAUUUGUUUUAAUGUGACUACAUUUAUCACAUUUAGUUUCCUGUUUGCAAUUAACCGAAUUGACGAUCCGUCCAUCAAAUCUGUUGUUGUGUGAAAUAGGCUACACAGUUUUGUUUUGGGCUCUCGAAACCCUGGGAGAAUAGGGUCCCAGUCCAAAGGGCCAUUAUCAGUUUACGCUGACUAUCUAUACUGAAAGGCAUUCUUCCUGUUGGGGGAAAGAUACUUCAAGGAAAAGAUACUGUAGAUCUAUCACCUAGGCUAGGAACAUGGAAUCCAAAGAACAUUCACCCCAACUGUUCUAUAAUGGAACAUAGAACUGUCAUAAUAACCUAGUCUGAGUACCAGUCUCUUAGCUAACAUUCUACUCCUUGCCAUUACCAUAUUUGGCACAUGACAACAUGUACGUGACAAUUAAUAUGUUGAUUUGAUUUGUGUAUAGGGAGUGGAUUCUCUAGAGACUGGUACCCAGGCUAAUGAUAACCUUGGAACUAGCCUAACUAAGAGACUGGUACCCAGGCUAAUGAUAACCUUGGACCUAGCCUAACUAAGAGACUGGUACCCAGGCUAAUGAUAACCUUGGACCUAGCCUAACUAAGAGACUGGUACCCAGGCUAAUGAUAACCUUGGACCUAGCCUAACUAAGCAUGAUGCAGUCUUAAACGGUAAUACUUAACCUUACAUAGGUAAUAUACAUAUCUAAAAGGUGUCAUUCUUGUCUCUUGAGGUACCAAGUAAAGAUGGCACCUUUUUUUCUUCUCUCUGGGAAACUAGUCUGUAGAAACUUUAACCAUGUCAGUGUUUCCGUGCAUCUAAUAUUGAUUUGUAUGCGUUGUGUUGAGAAGCUAGCCCACACGGUGUUUGAGGCUUUGCCAAGACACUUUAAUUACUUUCAUUUCCGUUUGUAUUUUUUUAUCUAAGGUUUGAGGUUGUUUUUAAGUGUGUGUGUCAGUGUGUGUAUGUGAAAGUCCAUCUCUAACCCUGCCUCUAUAUUGUCAGUAUCUUGGCUCAACAUUCUCUCUGCUCUGUCAGUGAAACAACUGUUUUUGCCAGUUUUUUUCCCCCCAGAACAUCUGUCAGAAUUUAAAAUGGAUAUGCAGGAAACUCUGGUCGACAGGUACGACUCUUGACUUUGACGUUUGAUGAAAGCCAUGGCUACAAUGGUUCCCUUAAUAUCCUGUGCUGUUACUCUUAUUCUGGACAUGUAUAACUCUCAAGAAUUGAAUCUCCAGAAUUGACGAUAUUCCCCAAGUUUCUCGAACAGCUACAUCCAGAUGUUUGAAGAGGGGAAAAAAAGAAUAUACAGUAAUUCAAUAAAAAUAUGAACAAUAAAAUCUGUAUGAGAAGUCGCUAGUUCCACAAGUAGGUUCUGGGUAAUCUUGUGCUAGACUGAGAAUCCAGCUGUUUCUGUGUUGAAGAGGGAGGGAGUAAACUACCGCAGUGUUUUCCAAAACACCAUCCGUCCCUCCAGCUGUCCAUCCAAACCCUCUCAUUCUGUCUGUUUCGUUCACCUCCAAUGUGUCCCUUUUCAUUCGGUUUUAUUGUCUCAAUACGUUGUGCAAGAAAAAAAGGAUUUUACAGUCGGUAAAUCCCCCUCCCCUUGAGGUCACAAACUGUACCCUGGCAAUGACCAAAUGAUUAUCUCUUAUUAACCGUUAUCUAUUUCAUUUUGAUCAGACAUCAAAUCAGUCACUCGAAGUCUGUUUUUUUUUAACUUGUAUGAAUAUUUUUCUUGUGAAAUAAUUGCUUGUUAAAGGUUGUGUGAGUUAGAUGCACUGUUCUUUAUUAGACAGUUCACUGUUCUCUUGAAGCAACCCCCAUCCACAAGAACGCAAACCUACAAUAAGUAAUUCUACGUUAUGCAUGCAACAAACCCUAAACUAACUCAGUUGAGUUAAAUACAUCUGGGUUUCAGGGUGGCUACAGCCAGUAGCUGGAUCAGGUGUUGUCACCAUGUUAGCAUUUUCCUUUUUAUUGUAAAUUGUUAAGAAAUUCAAGCAACUAUUUCAAUUGUGUUGAUUGGUGAUUUGUGAGCCUGUUCAGCUCUUUCCAGGUUUUGUGUGUGUGUGUGUGUGUGUGUGUGUGUGUGUGUGUGUGUGUGUGUGGCAGCAGUAGUCUUCCUCAGUCAUGCACCUCUCUCCCUCAUACAGCCAUCUCUCUGAAACUGCCAGUCAGCCACUCCACAUAAUGCCAUGCAGAUCCUCUGAUGUCACUUCCCGACUUCCUAUUAUAUUUACUGCUUAUCAUCAUUCAAACUAUGUUUGGAGAGAAUGUAGUUACUGUUCCAAAUGACAAGAUACCACAAGAGAGCUGAACAACUCACUGUGAUUAUCUAGUCAAUGAGCUGACGAGGAUGGAUUUAUGGUUCUCAUUAGUAUUGUGUGUGUGUCAUUUUUUUUAAAGAUUUAAGUUUCAAACGAUUUUUGAUUUAAAUGUAGAUUUCUGGAAAUUGUCUGUCAGCUGUUCUCUCUCUCACUUUUUUUUGUUUGUUCCUGUAUUGUGAAACGACAGAUAGAUCUCUCCUGGAAUCUAUGCAAAUAUGUUCUGGUGUCCUAACGCCAAGGCUGAAACGGGAGACGGACUGAGUUAACCUGUAAAUAAUGUAUAAACCAAUGGGUCUUUAGAAAUACAGGGGCAUAUGAAUUAAUCAAGAGGACUGAAUGAAACACAUGCGAAAUGAAUGUCUGAAAUAUUUUUAUAUAAUUUAAGAGAGAAGAAAAACAUGAAACAAAAGCAAAAAAAAAAAAAAACUUUGUGGGGAAAAAUCUGGAAGAAACAGAAAAUAAAGGGAAGGUUUUUAUUCAUUUAUAAAUGUUUUACCUGGCCAUAUGAAUUGUGUCAUGAUGUUUCUUUAUUUAGGCUUUUCUCUCCUGUGUCAAUUAAGCUUCUGACACACCACACAGAACAGUUGAUAUACAGAUCAGCUUCCCACUUAGAGAUGAGCUUGCUCUGUCUUUCACCUGUUAUUCUCCUUUUUAAUCAUUCACACUGUGUGUGUGUGUGUGUGUGUGUGUACUCUAUUUCACAGCAGAACAUUCUACAGAUAUUUAUUAACGGACUCAAACUCUUGUUUAUUAGCCUAGCUCCAAGCGCUGGGGUGAUUGAGUGAGUGAAUCUCAUGCAUGUCUAGAACAUUCACCACUGUCAGUGUGUUGGUUGAUCUAGAACAUUCAC